CUCACGGUGGCGCAGUUGGAAGCACUGUUGCCUUGAAGGUCCUGGGUUCGAUUCCUGGCCGGGGGU
Molecule: non-coding RNA, 66 nt
Organism: Characodon lateralis
Lineage: Eukaryota; Metazoa; Chordata; Actinopteri; Cyprinodontiformes; Goodeidae
Source: the annotation of a GenBank genome assembly